Molecule: ribosomal RNA, 242 nt
Filed under: uncultured Bradyrhizobiaceae bacterium
Lineage: Bacteria; Pseudomonadati; Pseudomonadota; Alphaproteobacteria; Hyphomicrobiales; Nitrobacteraceae
Description: partial 16S ribosomal RNA
Rfam family: Bacterial small subunit ribosomal RNA
Source: RNAcentral
CAGACGGGUGAGUAACGCGUGGGAACGUACCUUUUGGUUCGGAACAACCCAGGGAAACUUGGGCUAAUACCGGAUAAGCCCUUACGGGGAAAGAUUUAUCGCCGAAAGAUCGGCCCGCGUCUGAUUAGCUAGUUGGUGAGGUAAUGGCUCACCAAGGCGACGAUCAGUAGCUGGUCUGAGAGGAUGAUCAGCCACAUUGGGACUGAGACACGGCCCAAACUCCUACGGGAGGCAGCAGUGGG